RNAcentral lists this ribosomal RNA (260 nucleotides) under uncultured archaeon. Its description in RNAcentral is "partial 16S ribosomal RNA". It matches the Rfam family "Archaeal small subunit ribosomal RNA", at positions 748 to 1009 of the family's 1478-position model. The record is from RNAcentral.
UAGCCGUAAACGAUACUCGCUAGGUGUCGGCCACGGUGCGACCGUUGUCGGUGCCGUAGGGAAGCCGUGAAGCGAGCCACCUGGGAAGUACGGCCGCAAGGCUGAAACUUAAAGGAAUUGGCGGGGGAGCACCACAACGGGUGGAGCUUGCGGUUUAAUUGGAUUCAACGCCGGAAUCUUACCGGGACCGACAGCAACAUGAAGGCCAGGCUGAAGACUUUGCCGGAUUAGCUGAGAGGUGGUGCAUGGCGUAGUCGUGU